RNAcentral lists this ribosomal RNA (250 nucleotides) under uncultured prokaryote. RNAcentral's name for it is "partial 16S ribosomal RNA". It matches the Rfam family "Bacterial small subunit ribosomal RNA", at positions 524 to 773 of the family's 1533-position model. The record is from RNAcentral.
UACGGAGGAUCCGAGCGUUAUCCGGAUUUACUGGGUGUAAAGGGAGCGUAGACGGUUCAGCAAGUCUGAUGUGAAAACCCGGGGCUCAACUCCGGGAUUGCAUUGGAAACUGUUGAACUAGAGUGCAGGAGAGGUAAGUGGAAUUCCUAGUGUAGCGGUGAAAUGCGUAGAUAUUAGGAGGAACACCGGCGGCGAAGGCGGCUUACUGGACUGUAACUGACGUUGAGGCUCGAAAGCGUGGGGAGCAAAC